AUUGAACGCUGGCGGCAGGCCUAACACAUGCAAGUCGAGCGAGCGGCGGACGGGUGAGUAAUGUAUGGGAAACUGCCUGAUGGAGGGGGAUAACUACUGGAAACGGUAGCUAAUACCGCAUACUAUCAGAUGAGCCCAGAUGGGAUUAGCUAGUAGGUGGGGUAAUGGCUCACCUAGGCGACGAUCCCUAGCUGGUCUGAGAGGAUGACCAGCCACACUGGAACUGAGACACGGUCCAGACUCCUACGGGAGGCAGCAGUGGGGAAUAUUGCACAAUGGGCGCAAGCCUGAUGCAGCCAUGCCGCGUGUAUGAAGAAGGCCUUCGGGUUGUAAAGUACUUUCAGCGGGGAGGCGUUACCUGCAGAAGAAGCACCGGCUAACUCCGUGCCAGCAGCCGCGGUAAUAC
RNAcentral lists this ribosomal RNA (406 nucleotides) under uncultured bacterium. Its description in RNAcentral is "partial 16S ribosomal RNA". It matches the Rfam family "Bacterial small subunit ribosomal RNA", at positions 30 to 526 of the family's 1533-position model. The record is from RNAcentral.